GUCUAAAGGUUUCUUCGGAAACCUUGGCGGACUGCUCAGUAACACGUGGAUAACCUACCCUUGGGACUGGAAUAACCCCGGGAAACUGGGGAUAAUACCGGAUAGAUCAGGGAUGCUGGAAUGCACCUUGAUCCAAAGCUCCGGCGCCCAAGGAUGGGUCUGCGGCCUAUCAGGUAGUAGUGGGUGUAACGUACCUACUAGCCAACGACGGGUACGGGUUGUGAGAGCAAGAGCCCGGAGAUGGAUUCUGAGACACGAAUCCAGGCCCUACGGGGUGCAGCAGGCGCGAAACCUUUACAAUGUGCGAAAGCAUGAUAAGGGAACUCCGAGUGCCAGUAUCUAAUACUGGCUGUCCUUGUGCCUAAAACGCACAAGAUAGCAAGGGCCGGGUAAGACCGGUGCCAGCCGCCGCGGUAACACCGGCGGCCCGAGUGGUAGCCGCUAUUAUUGGGUCUAAAGGGUCCGUAGCCGGUUCGAUAAGUCCUCUGGGAAAUCUGGUUGCUUAACAAUCAGACUGCCAAGGGAUACUGUCGAACUUGAGACCGGGAGAGGUAAGAGGUACUUCAGGGGUAGGAGUGAAAUCUUGUAAUCCCUGGGGGACCAUCUGUGGCGAAUGCGUCUUACCAGAACGGGUCUGACGGUGAGGGACGAAAGCUGGGGGCGCAAACCGGAUUAGAUACCCGGGUAGUCCCAGCCGUAAACGAUGCUCGCUAUGUGUCAGGUACGGUGUGACCGUAUCUGGUGCCGUACGGAAACCGUG
Molecule: ribosomal RNA, 760 nt
Filed under: uncultured archaeon
Lineage: Archaea
Description: bacterial SSU rRNA
Rfam family: Archaeal small subunit ribosomal RNA
Source: RNAcentral